AAAGAUUCAUUCAAUCACUUAAAUAGAAUCUGAACAAGCAAACAGAUGAAAUCUUGUUCAGAUAAAUGCUACAGAAAUAUAAAUAGAUUCAGUUUUGCACGAUAAGAGAAACAAAGAUCAUUAACUUAUGGUACUUUGGAGUGGUAGUGCAAAGGGAACUUGAAGCCUUUGAGAGAGAGUUUACACAGUGGCAUUAGCCAUUAACAAGGUACAUGCCAUGCCACAUUUUGAAACUGACAUGCAGUGCUAAGGUGAUAGGUGAGAGAAACACCUUACUACUGCAAGCCUCAUAAAACAGACCUAACAACUAUACAUGUUGAUGCAAAGGCAAUGGCUCUAUUAUUUUAUUGUAACUACUAUACAGCUUAUAAUUUAAUUCUUGUAAUUUUAACUUGCAUUAUUUUUACUUUCCUUAUAUUUCUAGCAAUUUUAAGAUUCCUAUUUUGACAAACUUGUACACAUAAAACUAGGAUUUCUAGUAUUACAAAUAGGUAUCUUAUGUACUUGUUGGUGAGAUGGAGUGAGUAUCCUCAUUUUAAAUGAAAUUCCAGACCUAAUGGAGUGAGCAUCCUUAGAUGUAGAUAGGCCAUUCACAAGUACAAGCCAACACUAACAUUAUAGAUUUUGAGCUAAAAUUUCAAAAUUAAUAAGGAAAGAUGUUCUCUUCAUUAGAAAUUAUAAAGCCUAGAACUAUUUCUUUUAAUUAAUUAAGAACAUAUUCAAAAACCUCAAAGCAAAUGUCAG
Molecule: unclassified non-coding RNA, 744 nt
Filed under: Hevea brasiliensis (rubber tree)
Lineage: Eukaryota; Viridiplantae; Streptophyta; Magnoliopsida; Malpighiales; Euphorbiaceae
Source: RNAcentral